AUUGAACGCUGGCGGCAGGCCUAACACAUGCAAGUCGAACGAGUGGCGGACGGGUGAGUAAUGUCUGGGAAACUGCCUGAUGGAGGGGGAUAACUACUGGCAACGGUAGCUAAUACCGCAUACCAUCAGAUGUGCCCAGAUGGGAUUAGCUUGUUGGUGGGGUAACGGCUCACCAAGGCGACGAUCCCUAGCUGGUCUGAGAGGAUGACCAGCCACACUGGAACUGAGACACGGUCAAGACGCCUACGGGAGGCAGCAGUGGGGAAUAGUGGACAAGGGGCGAAAGCCUGAUGCAGCAAUGCCGCGGGGAGGAAGAAGGCCUUCGGGUUGUAAAGUACUUUCAGCGGGGAGGCGUUACCCGGAGAAGAAGCACGGGCUAACUCCGUGCCAGCAGCCGCGGUAAUAC
Molecule: ribosomal RNA, 406 nt
Filed under: uncultured bacterium
Lineage: Bacteria
Description: partial 16S ribosomal RNA
Rfam family: Bacterial small subunit ribosomal RNA
Source: RNAcentral